Molecule: small nucleolar RNA, 51 nt
Filed under: Meriones unguiculatus (Mongolian gerbil)
Lineage: Eukaryota; Metazoa; Chordata; Mammalia; Rodentia; Muridae
Description: Small nucleolar RNA SNORA17 (ENSMUGG00000019044.1)
Source: RNAcentral
GCUACGUCUAUUUCAGUGUUCUGACCUGUGAACAUCUGAAUGAUUAGCGGC